GGGUGUUAGCUCAGUUGGUUAGAGCGCCGGCCUGUCACGCCGGAGGUCGCGAGUUCAAGUCUCGUACAU
This 69-nucleotide transfer RNA is filed under the name human gut metagenome. It matches the Rfam family "tRNA", at positions 5 to 66 of the family's 71-position model. Rfam says of the family: Transfer RNA (tRNA) molecules are approximately 80 nucleotides in length. RNAcentral also lists the same sequence under 1 other name. The record is from RNAcentral.